This 436-nucleotide ribosomal RNA is filed under the name uncultured eukaryote. Its description in RNAcentral is "bacterial SSU rRNA". It matches the Rfam family "Eukaryotic small subunit ribosomal RNA", at positions 692 to 1120 of the family's 1831-position model. The record is from RNAcentral.
GGGGGCUCGUGAUAUCUUAUCUCGCCGCCCGUCGCGAGGCGGACGGAGGGAUGGAUGAGGUUACCUGGAAAAAAUCGGGGCGAUCUAGGCGGGCGAACCUCGCCAACGAACGAUCGGACAUGGGAUAACGGAAGAGGGCGUCGGCUCGACUUCGUCGGUUCCUCGGGCCGAGGCACGUACGGUGAAUAGGGACGGUCGGGGCCGCCCGUACCGGGUCGUGAGAGGUGAAAUUCUAGGAUCGACCCGAGACGAACUGCCGCGAAAGCAUUCGGCAAGGACGCUUUCAUUAAUCAAGAACGAAAGUCGGGGGGAUCGAAGACGAUCAGAUACCGUCGUAGUCCCGACCGUAAACGAUGCCGACCGAUGGCCCGGAGGAGUUACGUACGACCCCUCCGGGCCCUCCCGCGAGAAAUCAGGAGUAUUCGGGUUCCGGGGG